Molecule: long non-coding RNA, 1470 nt
Organism: Rosa chinensis
Lineage: Eukaryota; Viridiplantae; Streptophyta; Magnoliopsida; Rosales; Rosaceae
Exons: 3
Source: RefSeq, a predicted model, not a curated record
GUUUUCUUUUUCUCACAGCUGCUUUACUUCCAUUUCCACUGUCCAACAAAAACCGAUGAACACGAGCUUGUUUCAUCAUUUUUGCCAAGUCGAAUCAGGGUUGGAUUUGGAGACAGCAAUCAAUUUGGCCAUGGAAUUGAAGAUGGGCCGCAACUAUAUUCUUAUCCAGAAAGGAUUUCAGAGCCUGCAAUUGAGAUUUCUGCACACAAAUUGGGUGAGGAUUUUGUUCUUUAUUUUACUCCUUGGUUUGAUCUGUGUACAACAAAACUGAAAUUUUCUUCUUGAUUCUCUUCAUCGGUGACUCUGGGCUUUGAAUGUUGUUUUCUGGUGUUGAAAUUUGAUCGCGGUGAGUUCAAACAAGGCAAAAGUGCGUUGUUUGCAUUGAAGGCGAGGCUCCUGUCUCUGACUCCAGGUGCUAUAAGGAAGACACACAUAGACUAUUGCUGACAUUGAGAGUACAAAACAAGUACAGAAGCUGUGGUGUCAUAAAUUUCAGAGUUCCAGACUUUUGAUUUCAACGGUCUUCCGCCCUUCUCUUUUAGUUUCUUUGCACCAAAAACAACUUCUUUGUGCUUUGUCAACUCCCAUUGCUGCAACUUUAAGGAUUUUGAAUUUGUUAAACCCUGUUGUGCACGUAUAAAGGCAAGGACAGCAACUGCAGUCCAGACUCCAGAGUUUCAAUUUGAGGGUGAGUCUGACUAUUUAGACUUUGUUUAUUUUUUUCGGGUGUUAUCUGAGUUGGUGCUCUUGGGAAGCAAGCAUGGAAUUUGGAGACAGGCUAUGUGGUAUGGUGGUUUGAAAAAGAGAGGAAGGGAGGAAGGGAGAUUGCUCGUGCUGGUGUUUCAAAAGGCAGGUACUUUUUAAUUUUGAGGGAUUGUUCUGUUUGUAGACCAUCAGAGACGUUGCUCCGGUAUAUUCAUCGGGACGCUGCCCGGCAUGAGUCAUCGGGACGCUGCCCGGCAUGGUCAUCGGGACGCUGCCCGGCAUGGUCAUCGGGACGCUGCCCGGCAUGGUCAUCGGGACGCUGCCCGGCAUGGUUCAUCGGGACGCUGCCCGGCAUGGUUCAUCGGGACGCUGCCCGGCAUGGUCAUCGGAGACGCUGCUCCGGCAUGUUUUUCCUUUUUCAUGACAUCCUGACAAACCUGUGAACACAAAAGAAAGUGAAGAUCAUGGAAGAGAGGGAGUCUCAACCUUUGUGAUAAAAGCACGCUGUUGAGUUCUUCUUGCUUGCAGCAGGGCCUCCGCUCUCUUCUUCUUUUUCUAUCCCCUCCCCGUGUCACUAUUGCUAGCUUUAUAUAGUGGACUGAUGGAGAGUUUAACGUGGAUGUUGUUGACUUCCACACGGAAUGAAAUAGCUAGAGUCUCCUUUCUUCAAGGCUCUUGCAGAUAAACUGUCCUUAUCUUUGAUUGAGACGUUCUCCUGCUACUCCUAUUCUUUAUUUUUUCAUUAUUUGGCUGGAACUUUAUCUU